This 492-nucleotide ribosomal RNA is filed under the name uncultured bacterium. RNAcentral's name for it is "partial 16S ribosomal RNA". It matches the Rfam family "Bacterial small subunit ribosomal RNA", at positions 29 to 507 of the family's 1533-position model. The record is from RNAcentral.
AGUGAACGCUGGCGGUAGGCCUAACACAUGCAAGUCGAACGGCAGCACAGUAAGAGCUCGCUCUUACGGGUGGCGAGUGGCGGACGGGUGAGGAAUACAUCGGCAACUACUUUUUCGUGGGGGAUUACGUAGGGAAACUUACACUAAUACCGCAUACGACCUACGGCUUAAAGCAGGGGAUCUUCGCACCUUACGUGAUUGAAUGAGCCGAUUUCGGAUUAGCUAGUUGGUCGGGUAAAGUCCCACCAAGGCGACGAUGCGUAGCCGGUCUGAGAGGAUGAUCAGCCACACUGGAACUGAGACACGGUCCAGACUCCUACGGGAGGCAGCAGUGGGGAAUAUUGGACAAUGGGCGCAAGCCUGACGCAGCCAUACCGCGUGUGUGAAGAAGGCCUUCGGGUUGUAAAACCCUGUUGCUGGGAAAGAAAAGCAGCAGGUUAAUACCCCGAGAUUCUGACGGUACCCAAUGAAUAAGCAACGGCUAACUUCGUG